AGUCACUGACAUUAGAUACCCGGUAGUCCCAGCCGUAAACUAUGCGCGUUAGGUGUACUGGUGACCACGAGUCACCGGGGUGCCGAAGGGAAACCGUGAAACGUGCUACUUGGGGAGUACGUCCGCAAGGAUGAAACUUAAAGGAAUUGGCGGGGGAGCACCGCAACGGGAGGAGCGUGCGGUUUAAUUGGAUUCAACACCGUAAAACUCACCAGGGAAGACUGUUACAUGAAGGCCGAGAUGAAGACUCUGCUAGAUUUUCAG
This 264-nucleotide ribosomal RNA is filed under the name uncultured archaeon. RNAcentral's name for it is "partial 16S ribosomal RNA". It matches the Rfam family "Archaeal small subunit ribosomal RNA", at positions 718 to 982 of the family's 1478-position model. The record is from RNAcentral.